Molecule: ribosomal RNA, 253 nt
Filed under: uncultured bacterium
Lineage: Bacteria
Description: partial 16S ribosomal RNA
Rfam family: Bacterial small subunit ribosomal RNA
Source: RNAcentral
UACGGAGGGUGCAAGCGUUAUCCGGAUUCACUGGGUUUAAAGGGUGCGUAGGUGGGUCGGUAAGUCCGUGGUGAAACCUCCGAGCUUAACUCGGAAACUGCCGUGGAUACUAUCAAUCUUGAAUAUCGUGGAGGUAAGCGGAAUAUGUCAUGUAGCGGUGAAAUGCUUAGAUAUGACAUAGAACACCGAUAGCAGAGGCAGCUUGCUACACGAUCAUUGACACUGAGGCACGAAAGCGUGGGGAGCAAACAGG